This is a long non-coding RNA of Pocillopora damicornis (cauliflower coral), 892 nucleotides long. RefSeq lists it as uncharacterized. Lineage: Eukaryota; Metazoa; Cnidaria; Anthozoa; Scleractinia; Pocilloporidae. The record is from RefSeq and is a predicted model, not a curated record.
UCUUUGUUUACUGCAAUCAGAUAUCCUUAGGCAGCCCAGCGUUUAGGUCAGUAAAGCUUGAAACUCUCAGCUAUUAAGAUAGGAACAACGAGAGUCUACCAGGGACAGCUGUUACAUCAGCUUAAUAUCUGAGGUGACAACAAUAAUAAAGCUUAGAAAAAGUCAUGGGAUUCUCAGGUCUUCUUCGUCGAAACAGCAGCCGCAGACGAAGCUUCAAACGUAUCGAACCACGUGACCGAUCCGCUCAAUCAACAAGUUCUGGCGCUCAGCACCGGUCAGCGGAUACCGACGCAAACAGCUGCGAAAAGCGCGCGUCCCGGGAGAUUGGGUCCAUGCUGCGAAGGAUUGGAGACGAACUUAACAACAGCAGAUUGAGCCUCAAUUCCAUCAUUUGAAAUGGCACUCAAGGCAUAAGAUGAGAUUAAGUGCGAGGCGUGGUCGGUGACGAAUCGAGUCUGGAAAAAUGAAGGUUAAAAUUUUCAAGAAUUUGCUGUAAGAGGCGUGAUAGCCAAGAACGCUACGGACAAACGCUGAUAGUCACUGUUAAGUUCACUUUGUGCGGGUGAAAAACGGAGUUGCUUUGUACAUUAGGCUUUUAACUCAGAUGAUUCCGAUUUAGUGAACUCAUAAUGAAUCGUGUAAAUACCGUUUUGUGAGAAAAUAAAAAAAAAUCGAUCACUCAAGAAUGUACUAUAAAGUUCGCGUUCGUAAUGAAUCUCUAAUUCACUAUUUUUCGUUGUAGUUUAUACGCACAAUAUAGUAUCGUUAAGACUAAGGUUAGGUUGUAAAAUUGUAAAUAUCUUGCUACCACUAAAUCCACCAUGCACAACUAGAGAGGAUAGGAUUACAAUCGACUGUUUUUGAACCAAUAAUUAACAUAAUGAAAAAGAUA